UACUCGAGUGGCGAACGGGUGAGUAACACGUGGGUGAUCUGCCCUGCACUUCGGGAUAAGCCUGGGAAACUGGGUCUAAUACCGGAUAGGACCAUGCUUUAGUGUGUGUGGUGGAAAGUUUUUUCGGUGUAGGAUGAGCCCGCGGCCUAUCAGCUUGUUGGUGGGGUAAUGGCCUACCAAGGCGGCGACGGGUAGCCGGACUGAGAGGUUGGUCGGCCACAUUGGGACUGAGAUACGGCCCAG
Molecule: ribosomal RNA, 243 nt
Filed under: uncultured Actinomycetales bacterium
Lineage: Bacteria; Bacillati; Actinomycetota; Actinomycetes; Actinomycetales
Description: partial 16S ribosomal RNA
Rfam family: Bacterial small subunit ribosomal RNA
Source: RNAcentral